UCCGUGUUAACCACGGCAGUCUUUCUAGAGUGCCCAACUUAAUGCUGGCAACUAAAAACAGGGGUUGCGCUCGUUGAGGGACUUAACCCGACAUGCCACCACACGAGCUGACGACAGCCAUGCAGCACCUGUCUCUUUGUCGUAUUGCUACGAAAGCUACAUCUCUGCAGUUGUCAAAGGAUGUCAAACCUAGGUAAGGUUCUGCGCGUUGCUUCGAAUUAAACCACAUAAUCCACCGCUUGUGCGGGCUCCCGUCAAUUCCUUUGAGUUUUAGUCUUGCGACCGUACUUCCCAGGCGGGGUACUUAUCGCGUUAGCUCCGGAUCGGCAGGGGUCAACUCCCACCAAUCCUAGUACCCAUCGUUUACAGCGUGGACUAC
Molecule: unclassified non-coding RNA, 379 nt
Filed under: uncultured Oligoflexales bacterium
Lineage: Bacteria; Pseudomonadati; Bdellovibrionota; Oligoflexia; Oligoflexales
Description: contains 16S-23S intergenic spacer region
Source: RNAcentral